GACGAACGCUGGCGGUGUGCUUAACCAAUGCAAGUCGAACGGUAAGGCCCUUCGGGGGUUACCGAAUGGGGAAAGGGUGGGGAAAAAGGUGGUUAACCUCCCCCCUUCCCGGGGUAACAGGCGGAAACGGGUGGUUAUAAUGGAUAAUAGCUUGGAAGGCCUCUUGGGGGGUGGAAAGAAUUUUUUUGGGUUGGGGAUGGACUCGCGGCCUAUCAGCUUGUUGGUGAGGUAGUGGCUCACCAAGGCUUCGACGGGUAGCCGGCCUGAGAGGGCGACCGGCCACAUUGGGACUGAGAUACGGCCCAAACUCCUACGGGAGGCAGCAGUGGGGAAUAUUGCACAAUGGACGGAAGUCUGAUGCAGCAACGCCGCGUGCGGGAUGACGGCCUUCGGGUUGUAAACCGCUUUCAAUUGUGACGAAGCGUUUUUGUGACGGUAGCAGUAGAAGAAGCACCGGCUAACUACGUG
Molecule: ribosomal RNA, 468 nt
Filed under: uncultured bacterium
Lineage: Bacteria
Description: partial 16S ribosomal RNA
Rfam family: Bacterial small subunit ribosomal RNA
Source: RNAcentral